CGGGGUAUAAAAGAGCCCGCACGAGCGACACGGGGUUCUUAGGUUCUUAUGUUCACAGUCCUCGGUUGCUAGAUUCUAUGUGUAGUGUGUAGUGUGUGUGUUUUGUGAGUAUGAAAUAUACAGUGAAACG
Molecule: long non-coding RNA, 130 nt
Organism: Priapulus caudatus
Lineage: Eukaryota; Metazoa; Priapulida; Priapulimorpha; Priapulimorphida; Priapulidae
Exons: 2
Source: RefSeq, a predicted model, not a curated record